This 1365-nucleotide long non-coding RNA is filed under the name Carassius auratus (goldfish). RNAcentral describes it as "lncRNA (ENSCARG00000063542.1)". Lineage: Eukaryota; Metazoa; Chordata; Actinopteri; Cypriniformes; Cyprinidae. The record is from RNAcentral.
CCAUAUUUUGAGCAAAAAAUCUAAAUUUGAUUGUCAAAUACAUUCAUACAUAGGAAUAAAAACAUAAUUGUGAGAUGUCAGCUCAAGACAUUUCUGAGAGGGGAAAAAAGGUAGUGGUUAUUAAUAUAGUUAGUAGUUAGUAGUCAGAUAUGUGGAUUAUUUAUUUAUUUAUUUUGUGUUUGUGUAUUGAAAAGAAUUGAUCACACCAGAUGCCAGUAAUCUUGACAAAGUGGAACAGCACCAAUAUCUCUACACAAAACAGAUUCCUAGAGGACAUUUAUCCUCCUAAUGUGUUUUCGUUGAAUGCAGAUCACACUAACUUGAUUACUUGAUAGGCUCUGCACCUGCACAUGACACAAACACUAAUAUGCAUUAAUCAUUAUGCAAAUGAUGCAGCAUUGACAAAAAAGAAAUGUGACUUUUUUUAAUCCUUUUUUUAAUCAAAUUUUUAUCAAAUGCAGUAACUGCUGCAUGCUGCAUGAGGGGGCAUGAGGGAGUCAUUAUCAGUUAAGUUUAUCUGGAUCAGAAAAUAAGAGGAGUAGGAAGUUUGAGGAAGGACAUGAGCUGGGAGUGUUUGCUCUCCCCGCUUACUCAAACCCUUAUUGAGGAACAUUGGUUUUCUUCAUCUCAAUGUUUGGACUGCUCUUCCUCUAAUGGCACAUUGUCCUGGUAAACAGGGGUUCUUCUUUCAAGAGAACAGCAUUGAAGGUUUCUCCUCCAGAAGUGCUACUAACUUCCUCCGGGGGCAGAGACAUGCUUUGAAUGCCUUCUAAAUCAGGAUUAAUGGAUUGUGACACUGGGGCAUUGGGCUGGCGAGUGAAAUUGUUACUGAUGAUUUUGUCACAAAGUAAAAAAUGGCCUUCAGAAGGAAAUUACCCAUGCUUGAGGGAGUUCCUCUUGCACAUCUGCAUUUCCUCCAAAUUGUUUCUAAAGAUGGGAUACCUGAGCACUUGUGAACAUUCACUUUACAUCCUGUGGUCCUGCUGAGGUGAGGACGCUGACCUCCAUUCUGCUGCUAAUCAGGAUUUACACAAGCUUCAGUCUGGAUCCAGAACACCUGAGAAGAGAUGACCCCUCAGAGGAACCCAGAUGAUGCUAACCCUGAAACAACAUACAGAACUACCAAAUGUUGCUGUUAGUUUGAUUGCAUCUAAUUAUAAUUGCUGUUAAUAGUUUUCAUCGUCUGUUUGAUUACGUCUUUAAUUGAUUUUUUUUUUUUUUCAUACAUUUCUGCCAUAUGCACAUUAACUGACAGUCACCACUGAUAAGCUACUACCACUACUAUUGUAGAAACUAAAUUGUCUGUAAAGUUGCUUUGCAAUGAUUUGUAUCGUAAAAUGCGCUAUACAUUUAAACUUGAAUUUA